RNAcentral lists this ribosomal RNA (482 nucleotides) under uncultured bacterium. Its description in RNAcentral is "partial 16S ribosomal RNA". It matches the Rfam family "Bacterial small subunit ribosomal RNA", at positions 30 to 507 of the family's 1533-position model. The record is from RNAcentral.
AUUGAACGCUGGCGGCAUGCCUUACACAUGCAAGUCGAACGGUAACAGGUCUUCGGAUGCUGACGAGUGGCGAACGGGUGAGUAAUACAUCGGAACGUGCCCGAUCGUGGGGGAUAACGAGGCGAAAGCUUUGCUGAUACCGCAUACGAUCUACGGAUGAAAGCGGGGGAUCUUCGGACCUCGCGCGGACGGAGCGGCCGAUGGCAGAUUAGGUAGUUGGUGGGAUAAAAGCUUACCAAGCCGACGAUCUGUAGCUGGUCUGAGAGGAUGAUCAGCCACACUGGGACUGAGACACGGCCCAGACUCCUACGGGAGGCAGCAGUGGGGAAUUUUGGACAAUGGGCGAAAGCCUGAUCCAGCCAUGCCGCGUGCAGGAUGAAGGCCUUCGGGUUGUAAACUGCUUUUGUACGGAACGAAAAGCCUCUUUCUAAUAAAGAGGGGUCAUGACGGUACCGUAAGAAUAAGCACCGGCUAACUACGUG